This is a transfer RNA of Strongyloides ratti, 72 nucleotides long. It matches the Rfam family "tRNA". Rfam says of the family: Transfer RNA (tRNA) molecules are approximately 80 nucleotides in length. Their secondary structure includes four short double-helical elements and three loops (D, anti-codon, and T loops). NCBI's taxonomy places the organism in Eukaryota, Metazoa, Nematoda, Chromadorea, Rhabditida, Strongyloididae. The record is from Rfam.
UCUCUGGUAGUAUAGUGGUGAGUAUCCGCGCCUGUCACGUGCGAGACCGGGGUUCGAUUCCCCGCCAGAGAG